UACGUAGGGUGCGAGCGUUGUCCGGAAUUAUUGGGCGUAAAGAGCUCGUAGGCGGUUUGUCGCGUCGGAUGUGAAAGCCCGGGGCUUAACUCCGGGUCUGCAUUCGAUACGGGCAGGCUAGAGUUCGGUAGGGGAGAUCGGAAUUCCUGGUGUAGCGGUGAAAUGCGCAGAUAUCAGGAGGAACACCGGUGGCGAAGGCGGUUCUCUGGGCCUUACCUGACGCUGAGGAGCGAAAGCGUGGGGAGCAAACAGG
RNAcentral lists this ribosomal RNA (253 nucleotides) under uncultured bacterium. RNAcentral's name for it is "partial 16S ribosomal RNA". It matches the Rfam family "Bacterial small subunit ribosomal RNA", at positions 524 to 776 of the family's 1533-position model. The record is from RNAcentral.